AUAAGCGUGUGUGAAGAAGCCUUCGGUUGAUAGCACUUUCAAUUGGAAGGAAAAACUCAUGGCCAAUACCCGUGAGCUUGACAUUACCUUUAGAAGAAGCACCGGCUAACUCCGUGCCAGCAGCCGCGGUAAUACGGAGGGUGCAAGCGUUAAUCGGAAUUAUGGGCGUAAAGCGUGCGUAGGCGGCUCGCUAAGUCAGCAUGUGAAAGCCCCGGGCUCAACCUGGGAACGGCACUUGAAACUGGCAAGCUAGAGUAUAGGAGAGGAGAGUGGAAUUUCAGGUGUAGCGGUGAAAUGCGUAGAGAUCUGAAGGAACACCAGUGGCGAAGGCGACUCUCUGGCCUAAAACUGACGCUGAGGUACGAAAGCGUGGGUAGCAAACAGGAUUAGAUACCCUGGUAGUCCACGCCGUAAACGAUGUCAACUAGCCGUUGGCUCUCUUAGAGAGUUAGUGGCGCAGCUAACGCAUUAAGUUGACCGCCUGGGGAGUACGGCCGCAAGGUUAAAACUCAAAUGAAUUGACUGGGGCCCGCACAAGCGGUGGAGCAUGUGGUUUAAUUCGAUGCUACACGAAGAACCUUACCUAUCCU
This 590-nucleotide ribosomal RNA is filed under the name uncultured bacterium. RNAcentral describes it as "bacterial SSU rRNA". It matches the Rfam family "Bacterial small subunit ribosomal RNA", at positions 395 to 981 of the family's 1533-position model. The record is from RNAcentral.